GAAGGAUUUUUGGUUGGAGAUCCUUACUUGGAGAAGCUUUUGCCUGUGAACCUGGAAUUUUGUGAUAUAGGUGAAACAAUAUCCAUUUCAAAGAUUAUUUUUCAAGCUGAGAAUCAACGUUCCAGUUCAUUUGCUUCCUGGUUACUGGGAAGAAAGCUGCACCAGCUGAGAUUGCAGCGCUAAUGGCCGUGUUCCAGAAAUACAGCAACCAAACCCGGAGCAAGCCUGAUUUCUAGAGGAGCUCUCACCUCUUAUCUGCAGCAUGCCAACUUUUUACACUAACCCAAGCCUCUGCUUGUCUAUAUGGAGGACACUCCUUAUGAAGGACUGUCACUUCUCUGUCUGCUGUCUGUAUGUAUAGAAAUGACCACGGGUAACUAGAAUAGCCACUAUAGUCAUUUCUCCAGAACAAUGAUUCUAUUUAACUUGAAUUUUCUAUAAGGCUUUGCACUGAUCCUUUAAGAUAGUGCACUUCAGAGUAAAAUUCUGCUUACAGAAAGCUUGCUCUGGCCUCACUCCUUGAUGCCCACUGCACCUCACAGAUCUCCCCAUAUAGCCUGCCCUUCCUUUGAAGUUGUUUUGGUUUUGUUUGUUUGCUUUUGAAAGGGGAAAAAUAAGAAGGACAUGAAAAAUGACUUAUUCUACUGUUCUUAGGAAAUUAGAUAGAUAGAUAGACAAACAGACAGACAGACCUUGUGCUUGUAUUUUCAUUUCUUUAAAACCGCAUUUGAAGAUUUAACUGUAGUGGCCCCUUGUCAGUAUUCUCUCUCAGAAACAGUCUUCCAAAUCCUUGGCAUCUAUUUCUCUGCCAGUUUGUGGGGCUGCAGGUCUCCAUGAGGAAUCGAUAGAGAACAAGCUAGAUAAAAGAGCGUAGGGGAAGUAGACACAGGAAUGUUAAAUAAUGUAAUUAUGCAUGAAGUGUGCCCUCCUUCUUUUCCAAUAAGUCCAUAUGCUCUUAUAAAUACACGCAAGGAUGGCAUUCUCCAGGGCGUCAUCCACGGUUUCUCUCAGCAGCCUUAACUGAGUCAGAGCUGCUCCCCUGGCACCUGCCACCUGCCCCAGCUUAGCAGAAGGAAACAGCAAUCCCAUCGGGCAGCUGCAGGCACAGGACAAUGGCAAUGUGAGCAACGCUUUCAGUAGUAGUUUUUCACAUGUAAGCAACUUCACUUUACCUUCAUAUCCAUUAUCCAAAAGCCAUGGCUGGUGCUGUCACUAGAAAAUAGCACAAGAAAUAUUGACUGAUGACUUGUGCGUACAGUGACCCUAAUAUACGUCUGCUUUUCUUCUCGAGGAUUGAUCUUCGUCGAUUCAUAACAUUAAAUUGUUCUUAUUUCAAUUCUUAUUCAAUUCUGAUAACAUCUUAUUUUUUCAAAUGUAAGGAUUUGUGAAUGGAACUCCUUAGAGUUUGGAGAGAAAGGCGUGAGUCUUCUGUCAAAGACAAGUGAUUUUACACCUGCAUGUCCAUAACCUUGCUUUCAGUUCAGGUGCCACCCCUGUUUAUCAUCUUGCCCCAGUGUUCAGGCUACGCCCAUUCUUUCCAUGUGAAAACCUCACGGAAAUUGACAUUGUUCAACAACAGCAGCCUGACUGAUGUAUAUUACACUUGAAGUUUGAAGGAUUGACUUCUUCAAGACAAUCUAAUGUCUGUGUUAGGGACAAAUUCCCUCUGUAGUGACGCUUGUUUUACGGUGUUGUGAGAACAUGCACAUCCCUCAGUCUUUCACACUGCUAUCCGGAUGUAAGGGAGUUCUAGCAGCAGAAAUGCAAGUGGUUACCAGUUCCCCAGUAAGAUCCUGUCUAUGACUCUGAUGGUAAAAAUUGAAAUUUUCACCAGAUACAUAACGUUAAAAGCAUGUAGGAUAAAUUAUGAAAAAGAAAAUAGAAAGAGAAGUAGCUGAGCUAACACCUUAACUAAAAGGAGGAAAAAAUAAGGCCUAAAAAGCAAAUCUGGGUGCUGUGUUUUCAUCAGAUAUUAACUUCAUCCCAAGAGGUGUUCAUUAUCCAGAUGAAAAUAUUUGGCUUAUUUAUCAGAGUGCAGAGGCUUACAUUGAGGUGAUAGUUCUGAAUGCAGUCAUCAUGAAAUGGCUGGUAUACAUCAGAGACACUGAAAGCGUGGAUUGAUCGGAGCCUUACGUUUGGCUGCGAUCCUAGAAACCCUGGAAGCGUGCGUUCAGCUUCUCACACUGCAUUUUGUUAGCACUGCAGUGACAUCGGGGCCUUUGUUGGUGUUUGAUUCCUCGUAUGCACAACAUGGCUGAUAUCAGAUUGCAAAUAGAGAUAAAUGUAAAUUGCUUUAUGAACUGUCAUUAUUACAACCAAGUUCCGUUAUUAGCUAGGUCUAAAUGUUUUCAUAUAUUCCACACCCAUGUUGCCCUUUGAGAUUUUAACUGUUGUUUUCUUGUACAUUAAUAAUUUCCUCGUAUAAUCAUUCCCAAGAGAAUGAGCUGAAAGAAUUAUGAAUUAAUUUGCAUCUCCUUAAUGUACUAAUAAACUUCCCAAGAAGAAAAUUUCACUCCAUCCAGGUGGAAACCAAUCACUUUAAAUCAGAGCUUACUGAAUUUCAAAGAGGUGUUUUGUUGUUUUUUUUUCUUUCCAAGAAGUUGCCAAAGAACAGUGCCCUGCAUGUUAAAAUUGGAAAGCACAAGCAGCAGUUUUAGUAAAAGCACCAAGUCAUUUUUUGCUGCA
Meleagris gallopavo (turkey) is the source of this 2685-nucleotide non-coding RNA. Lineage: Eukaryota; Metazoa; Chordata; Aves; Galliformes; Phasianidae. The record is from RefSeq and is a predicted model, not a curated record.